RNAcentral lists this ribosomal RNA (437 nucleotides) under uncultured bacterium. RNAcentral describes it as "bacterial SSU rRNA". It matches the Rfam family "Bacterial small subunit ribosomal RNA", at positions 958 to 1393 of the family's 1533-position model. The record is from RNAcentral.
AACGCGAAGAACCUUACCUGGCCUUGACAUGUCCGGAAUCCUGCAGAGAUGCGGGAGUGCCUUCGGGAAUCGGAACACAGGUGCUGCAUGGCUGUCGUCAGCUCGUGUCGUGAGAUGUUGGGUUAAGUCCCGCAACGAGCGCAACCCUUGUCCUUAGUUGCCAGCACGUAAUGGUGGGAACUCUAAGGAGACUGCCGGUGACAAACCGGAGGAAGGUGGGGAUGACGUCAAGUCCUCAUGGCCCUUACGGCCAGGGCUACACACGUACUACAAUGGUCGGUACAGAGGGUUGCAAAGCCGCGAGGUGGAGCCAAUCCCAGAAAGCCGAUCCCAGUCCGGAUCGAAGUCUGCAACUCGACUUCGUGAAGUCGGAAUCGCUAGUAAUCGCGGAUCAGCUAUGCCGCGGUGAAUACGUUCCCGGGUCUUGUACACACCGG